This 1091-nucleotide ribosomal RNA is filed under the name Streptacidiphilus luteoalbus. Its description in RNAcentral is "bacterial SSU rRNA". It matches the Rfam family "Bacterial small subunit ribosomal RNA", at positions 319 to 1421 of the family's 1533-position model. Lineage: Bacteria; Bacillati; Actinomycetota; Actinomycetes; Kitasatosporales; Streptomycetaceae. The record is from RNAcentral.
CUGAGACACGGCCCAGACUCCUACGGGAGGCAGCAGUGGGGAAUAUUGCACAAUGGGCGCAAGCCUGAUGCAGCGACGCCGCGUGAGGGAUGACGGCCUUCGGGUUGUAAACCUCUUUCAGCAGGGAAGAAGCGCAAGUGACGGUACCUGCAGAAGAAGCACCGGCUAACUACGUGCCAGCAGCCGCGGUAAUACGUAGGGUGCGAGCGUUGUCCGGAAUUAUUGGGCGUAAAGAGCUCGUAGGCGGCUUGUCGCGUCGGAUGUGAAAGCCCGGGGCUUAACCCCGGGUCUGCAUUCGAUACGGGCAGGCUGGAGUGUGGUAGGGGAGAUCGGAAUUCCUGGUGUAGCGGUGAAAUGCGCAGAUAUCAGGAGGAACACCGGUGGCGAAGGCGGAUCUCUGGGCCAUUACUGACGCUGAGGAGCGAAAGCGUGGGGAGCGAACAGGAUUAGAUACCCUGGUAGUCCACGCCGUAAACGUUGGGCACUAGGUGUGGGUCGCAUUCCACGCGGUCCGCGCCGUAGCUAACGCAUUAAGUGCCCCGCCUGGGGAGUACGGCCGCAAGGCUAAAACUCAAAGGAAUUGACGGGGGCCCGCACAAGCAGCGGAGCAUGUGGCUUAAUUCGACGCAACGCGAAGAACCUUACCAAGGCUUGACAUACACCGGAAACGUCCAGAGAUGGGCGCCCCCUUGUGGUCGGUGUACAGGUGGUGCAUGGUUGUCGUCAGCUCGUGUCGUGAGAUGUUGGGUUAAGUCCCGCAACGAGCGCAACCCUCGUUCUGUGUUGCCAGCGGGUUAUGCCGGGGACUCACAGGAGACUGCCGGGGUCAACUCGGAGGAAGGUGGGGAUGACGUCAAAUCAUCAUGCCCCUUAUGUCUUGGGCUGCACACGUGCUACAAUGGCCGGUACAAUGAGCUGCGAUACCGUGAGGUGGAGCGAAUCUCAAAAAGCCGGUCUCAGUUCGGAUUGGGGUCUGCAACUCGACCCCAUGAAGUCGGAGUUGCUAGUAAUCGCAGAUCAGCAUUGCUGCGGUGAAUACGUUCCCGGGCCUUGUACACACCGCCCGUCACGUCACGAAAGUCGGUAACACC